Molecule: transfer RNA, 63 nt
Filed under: Necterosoma penicillatum
Lineage: Eukaryota; Metazoa; Arthropoda; Insecta; Coleoptera; Dytiscidae
Description: tRNA-Arg
Source: RNAcentral
AAAUAAGAAGUAAAAUUUACAUUUAAUUUCGACUUAAAAAUAUGGUGAAAUCACCCUUAUUUA